AACUUUCAGCAACGGAUCUCUUGGCUCUCGCAUCGAUGAAGAACGCAGCGAAAUGCGAUAAGUAAUGUGAAUUGCAGAAUUCAGUGAAUCAUCGAAUCUUUGAACGCACCUUGCGCCCUUUGGCUAUUCCGAAGGGC
This 137-nucleotide ribosomal RNA is filed under the name Tomentella larssoniana. RNAcentral describes it as "5.8S ribosomal RNA". It matches the Rfam family "5.8S ribosomal RNA", at positions 1 to 136 of the family's 154-position model. From Rfam's summary of the family: 5.8S ribosomal RNA (5.8S rRNA) is a component of the large subunit of the eukaryotic ribosome. It is transcribed by RNA polymerase I as part of the 45S precursor that also contains 18S and 28S rRNA. The record is from RNAcentral. Lineage: Eukaryota; Fungi; Basidiomycota; Agaricomycetes; Thelephorales; Thelephoraceae.